AUCCAUCUGACGAGUCCCAAAUAGGACGAAACGCGGGUGAAACUGGAU
Molecule: non-coding RNA, 48 nt
Filed under: Schistosoma mansoni
Lineage: Eukaryota; Metazoa; Platyhelminthes; Trematoda; Strigeidida; Schistosomatidae
Source: RNAcentral